AUCGCUUCUCGGCCUUUUGGCUCAGAUCAAGUGUAGUAUCUGUUCUUAUCAGUUUAAUAUCUGAUACGUCCCCCAUCGGGGACUACAUAUUAAAUGGAUUUUUCGAACAGGGAGUCGGAAAUGGGGCUUGCUCCGUCCGCUCCACGCAUCGACCCGGUAUUGCAGUACCUCCGGGAAUGGUGCAACACUU
RNAcentral lists this small nuclear RNA (190 nucleotides) under Salmo salar (Atlantic salmon). Its description in RNAcentral is "U2 spliceosomal RNA (multiple genes)". It matches the Rfam family "U2 spliceosomal RNA". From Rfam's summary of the family: U2 is a small nuclear RNA (snRNA) component of the spliceosome (involved in pre-mRNA splicing). Complementary binding between U2 snRNA (in an area lying towards the 5' end but 3' to hairpin I) and the branchpoint sequence (BPS) of the intron results the bulging out of an unpaired adenosine, on the BPS, which initiates a nucleophilic attack at the intronic 5' splice site, thus starting the first of two transesterification reactions that mediate splicing. Lineage: Eukaryota; Metazoa; Chordata; Actinopteri; Salmoniformes; Salmonidae. The record is from RNAcentral.